GACGAACGCUGGCGGCGUGCUUAACACAUGCAAGUCGAACGGAAAGGCCCUGCUUUUGUGGGGUGCUCGAGUGGCGAACGGGUGAGUAACACGUGAGUAACCUGCCCUUGACUUUGGGAUAACUUCAGGAAACUGGGGCUAAUACCGGAUAGGAGCUCCUGCUGCAUGGUGGGGGUUGGAAAGUUUCGGCGGUUGGGUAUGGACUCGCGGCUUAUCAGCUUGUUGGUGGGGUAGUUGCUUACCAAGGCUUUGACGGGUAGCCGGCCUGAGAGGGUGACCGGCGACAUUGGGACUGAGAUACGGCCCAGACUCCUACGGGAGGCAGCAGUGGGGAAUAUUGCACAAUGGGCGGAAGCCUGAUGAAGCAACGCCGCGUGCGGGAUGACGGCCUUCGGGUUGUAAAAAGCUUUCGCCUGUGACGAAGCGUGAGUGACGGUAAUGGGUAAAGAAGCACCGGCUAACUACGUG
RNAcentral lists this ribosomal RNA (468 nucleotides) under uncultured bacterium. RNAcentral describes it as "partial 16S ribosomal RNA". It matches the Rfam family "Bacterial small subunit ribosomal RNA", at positions 28 to 507 of the family's 1533-position model. The record is from RNAcentral.